Gossypium raimondii (Peruvian cotton) is the source of this 523-nucleotide non-coding RNA. The record is from Rfam. Lineage: Eukaryota; Viridiplantae; Streptophyta; Magnoliopsida; Malvales; Malvaceae.
CUCAUGGAGAGUUCGAUCCUAGCUUAGGAUGAACGCUAGCAACAUGCUUAACACAUGCAAGUCGGGCGGGUGAGUAACGCGUAAGAACUUGCCCUUAGGAGGGAAAAACAGCUGGAAAUACCCCGUAGGCUGAGGAGCAAAAGGAGGAAUCCGUUCGAGGAGGGCCUUGCGUUUGAUUAGCUAGUUGGUGAGGCAAUAGCUUACCAAGGCGAUGAUCAGUAGUUGGUUCGAGAGGAUAAUUGACCAAACUGGGACUAAGACACGGCCCAGACUCUUAGGGGAGGCAGUAGUGGGGUAUUUUUCGCAAUGGGCGAAAGCUUGAUGGAGCAAUGUCGCGUGGAGGUAGAAGGCCCACAAGUCGUGAACUUCUUUUCUUGGAGAAGAAGCAAUGACGAUAUCUGGGGAAUAAGCAUCGGUUAACUCUGUGCCAGCAGUCGCAAGAUUAUUUUUCAUCUCAAUUUUGGAUUUAAUGGGAUUUUACACUAAUUUCUUUUCUUUUUAUUAAGAAGAGAAAACAUAAAAU